This 1181-nucleotide long non-coding RNA is filed under the name Mus spicilegus (steppe mouse). Its description in RNAcentral is "lncRNA (ENSMSIG00000023783.1)". Lineage: Eukaryota; Metazoa; Chordata; Mammalia; Rodentia; Muridae. The record is from RNAcentral.
GACAGUUUUUUACAUAUUUAUUUACAUUUUUCUCUCUCCAGGAAAUGGAGCCAGAAUCCACAGAUGUCAUUAUCCAUCUGCACACGUUUGUUUACCACCCAGAAGGCAAGAUUGCAUUUUAAAGUCUUGGAUGGUUAUUCUUUUUCAUCACGAGUGACUCCAGAAGCCCUGACCAUUCACAGUGACCCUGGCUGAAAGUGUCUGUCAAAGCCUUGUUUCCUGGAGUGCUUUGAGAUUCUCCUACAAAAGGCAUUUUCCAAGCACAGAGUGGAAAAACAUCAUUUAUAUUCAUUCGGUCGCUGUGGCAUUUCUCCCUGGAAUCUUCCUCUUGUCUGUCAACAUUGGGAGAGGGCCGCUGACCUCAUCUACAUUACAAAUGGCCUCCUUUUAACGGGAGGAGAAAUGCAGUCAGACUGUGAUGCAAGCAAAGCUGAGCAGCUAAGGCUGUAACCCCACAAGAGCCAGACAGAGCAAGAAGAACUUGACUCAUGAUCUCAGAAAGUAGGCUAAGGGUCCAAAACAGCAGAGCUGCUGAUCAUCCAAAUGUGCAGCUGACACAUUCCCAAUUCCAGUCUUGAGAGAACAGCACAGAAGAGGAGGCUCUUGAAGGUGUUUCUCCUUUGCAAACUAGAAACUGUUUCCUAGGGAAGCUGUCAUUCUGCAGAGCUGUGUCCUCCAGGAUGACCACAUGAGGGCACUGAGUUGGUGUCCAAUACUGGUGGGUGCACUUCACUGUCCCUGUAUGGCUAUGCAGGCAGGCUGGCCACUAAACAAAGGUAGGUUACUGCUUUGGCAAGAGGCAGCUAGUGAGGGCCUGUGCUGUGAGCAGGGCCUGUAGAUACCUGUCCAUCACCCCCAUAUCUCCCUAUUGCAGACCUACUCUUUGUGGAACUACAGAUGAAAAAUAGUGAGCUUGACCAGAUGGCUCCAUGAAAAUGGUCUUCUGGAGGAGCAAUGAUUCAGAGAGAUAUGAGCAGGUUUCAAGUUUACUUAGGAGCCAAAAGGCAGAGGAGCCUGGGCCACAGUGUCUGCAGGGUUUAGCUUUAUUGUCAAGAUCAAGGAGGACGCCCCCGGAGCUCAUGUCUCUAGCUGCAUAUGAAUCAGAAGAUGACCUAGUCGGCCAUCAGUGGAAAGAGAGGCCCAUUGGUAGUGCAAACUUUAUAUUCCUCAGUACAGGGGAA